Molecule: long non-coding RNA, 1258 nt
Organism: Otolemur garnettii (small-eared galago)
Lineage: Eukaryota; Metazoa; Chordata; Mammalia; Primates; Galagidae
Exons: 3
Source: RefSeq, a predicted model, not a curated record
GGCUUGCUGAGCGGCAUUCGUUAUUGUUUCUUGUUUUUGUGUGCCUUACGAGAGUAGCUCUGAUGAACUCCAGACAAAAGAGUUCUAAAGUUGUUUCGAAGGGUGAACUUGGCACUGGCAUCAGUGCACGGCUUCCCAAGGAAGCACGAGAGCUCCAGGAGGUCAGGGCUUUGUUGACUGUCCUCCUGUGCCUGCAACAAUGGCUGAUUCACAGCAGACACUCACUAUAUACUCAUUUAUGGACAUAAAUGCUUUCAGGGUGGUGAUUUAUUUCCCUCUUUCCCUAUAAAGACACAGAGCAUGUGCUGUAUUCCAGGGUGCGUGGUGGAUGCUUUUGAAUAAGUGAAAGAAUGAAUAAAAAGAAUAAAUGAUCAAAUGAAUGCAUGCCUGAGCUUAUAAGAGACAUUGGCCAGGCUUAGACCAUCAUGGCAGUUGGCCUGUCUAUAGGGAAAUGCUUUUCAGUUGUUCAUAUUUUCUUAGCCCUGCCCAGGGGGAGCUCGAUCAUAGAGCAAGCUGGCUUUAGCUCCUUGGUCUUUUGCCCAUUUUUAGAACUUGAAUUAUUUGUCUUCUUAGUGUUGACUUUUGAGAUCACAUGGUAGAUUCUUGGAACAUGUUCUUUACUGGAUGUUACGACCCAUUGGGCCCCUAUGGCCCUGGUCUCUAUCUCCGCAAGAAGGAACCAGGCGUGAUGUGGAUUAGAAGUACAAGCUUGUGGGAGAUGGGCUAGCCCUUACUUUCCAGGCAGCCUGAGCGACCUCCGCACCAGUCUUUUAUUGAGACAGAACAAUACAGUUUCAAACUAGUAACCAUCCGCCUCAUGUCUGGAUUUAUUAAUUGGAUAGUCACCUAAAAACAACUCCGCAUAUUCUCACCUUACUGGAUACCAACCAGCUCAGACCAAAAAAUCUAAAAAGUUCCUGUAAUGCCAUUCCCUUACCUCAUUCCCCUCCCUCCAUUCUCUUUACAGGCAGCCCAUACAGCCCAUCUCCCCAGGAAGGAGUCAAAAAGAUACUAUGCCCAUCAUCCCACCUCCUUAUAAUAGACAAAAAAGACAUAGGAGAAUCAACCCCUUACCCUCUCCAACUGAUGUCCCACUUAAGAAAGGUGAAUGGGUUAACCUCUAACCUACCCCACUCCACUGGAUGUCCCACCUUGGAAAGAUAAAUGGGCCAACCCCCACCUUCCUGACCUUUAAAAUAAAAUCCCCAUUUGCCAUUACCCCCAUGUGUGAUUUCUUCCUGUCCCAGUUGGAAAUCUU